This 603-nucleotide ribosomal RNA is filed under the name Bacillus sp. (in: firmicutes). Its description in RNAcentral is "bacterial SSU rRNA". It matches the Rfam family "Bacterial small subunit ribosomal RNA", at positions 53 to 638 of the family's 1533-position model. Lineage: Bacteria; Bacillati; Bacillota; Bacilli; Caryophanales; Bacillaceae. The record is from RNAcentral.
ACAUGCAAGUCGAGCGGACAGAUGGGAGCUUGCUCCCUGAUGUUAGCGGCGGACGGGUGAGUAACACGUGGGUAACCUGCCUGUAAGACUGGGAUAACUCCGGGAAACCGGGGCUAAUACCGGAUGGUUGUUUGAACCGCAUGGUUCAAACAUAAAAGGUGGCUUCGGCUACCACUUACAGAUGGACCCGCGGCGCAUUAGCUAGUUGGUGAGGUAACGGCUCACCAAGGCAACGAUGCGUAGCCGACCUGAGAGGGUGAUCGGCCACACUGGGACUGAGGCACGGCCCAGACUCCUACGGGAGGCAGCAGUAGGGAAUCUUCCGCAAUGGACGAAAGUCUGACGGAGCAACGCCGCGUGAGUGAUGAAGGUUUUCGGAUCGUAAAGCUCUGUUGUUAGGGAAGAACAAGUACCGUUCGAAUAGGGCGGUACCUUGACGGUACCUAACCAGAAAGCCACGGCUAACUACGUGCCAGCAGCCGCGGUAAUACGUAGGUGGCAAGCGUUGUCCGGAAUUAUUGGGCGUAAAGGGCUCGCAGGCGGUUUCUUAAGUCUGAUGUGAAAGCCCCCGGCUCAACCGGGGAGGGUCAUUGGAAACUGGGG